CCUUUGUUACUCAGAUGUUUUUGGACUGCAACUCCCAGAAGCCUUCACCAUCAGCUCUGCUGGCUGAGGUUUCAGGGAGUUGCAGUUCAAAAACACCUGAGUAACAAAGGUUAAGAACCACUGCCUUAAAGGACAACAGCGAGCAUGUGUGCCCUUGGACAAGCUAGAUGGUCCCUGAACACCCUCAGAAAAAGGAAAUAGUAAAUCACUUCUGAUCACUAUCUACAUAGAGUCAGUGCAAGCCAGAAUCAACUCCUCAGCACAUAAUUAUAAAUUACUGAAAUGUAAUACCCUUGCUGCAGUUUUGCACCAUUAUGAAUACUCACUCUUUUUUUUACAAGACAAAUGAUAGGGUUCCAGUGCUGGGAGCCUAUAGGUACAUCUCACCCCUUAAAUCAGGGGUGGGCAAUUUCUAUAAGGGGCCACAUGAAAAAUCUGAACUGUGUUCGGGGGCUGAACCAACUUUACUUAAAAAUAAAAUGAAACAGUGAUGUUAUGAUUGUUUUUAUUUUAAGCUUGUUAAUCUUCACAAAUACUAAAGAGGUUUUUGCGGUACGUUAAACAUAAGCAACUGAUUAAGUUUAGACAAAAAGCUAUAAAUGUUUUUGAUGUCCGGCGGGCGGGACAGAAGCAGCUUGCGGGCAGUAUGUGGCCCUCGGGCCGCCCAGGUCUGCCUUAAAUACACAAGGCGCACAGCGAUGUAAAUACUCCUAGAGAACCCCUCAGUCUCCUGGAGUGUCAAGUCCCCAGAAGGCACCAAAAUCAUCACAGUGAUCGGAGCCCAGUGCUGACAUCAUUGGGGUAUCCCCUGUUCCCCUAUCACAGAACAUCAUAUCCCCUUCUCAAUAUUUCACACUGAACCUGCCACUGUGACAGAAAAUUAUGUAAGGGAUUGUGAGUCGCUCACGACUCUCUAGGGAUUCACACUCCGCCCUAUUAGGUAAAGCGUAUCCAUUUGACUAUUUUUAAUGCACCACUAAAAAAGCCACUAAGAAUAGGAAAUUCGCACCUCAAGUUAAAACAGACCCCCACCUUAUACUGCCUCUCCACCCGUGGUUAUUUCCCCAAUAACCUACCCACGCGUCGCCGCCAUUUGAAACAGAACGAAAACCUUCCACGCGGCCCUUUUAUAGUUACGUAGCCCCGCCCCGGUACCGGAAGGAACGCUUCCCCCUCCCCUCGCGCGUGCGCACAGGGGAAUAGUUGGGAAAGCACGCGCUUUUUGCUAAGCAUAAGAGAGCGGGUGUGCCCAAAGAGCGGGAAGGGAGGCUGCGUUUUAGCGUAGCCCAUUUUCUUAUGUUAUAAUAUACUGUAGAGGCUUGGCUUCAGAUAGGUUGGUGGUGUAUAUACGUAGGGCAGGACUUAGCCUUUACCCAGUGUGCUGUUGUGGAUGGAGUCAGAAGUGCUGGCUCCGAAUCCGAAAAACUCAAGAGGUUUCCUAGGAGCCUUUUGAGGAGAGAUAGGAAACAGCGUCAAAUAUCCCACUGACCUUGAAAGACCUGUUUUCUGACUCCAUGGCACAUCACUCACUCAGCCAAAGAAACAAUGGCUAAAAUCCAGUAAAGUAAAGUUAGGCUGUGUAAGUCUGCUAAUGUCAUCAUCUGCUGUGUGAGUGUUACUUGGGUAAUUAAAAAAAUUCUGUCACUCAGUACUGUAGUUCCUGGGAUCCUGGAGAAGCCUUUGGAGAUAGCAGGGCUAGGACUGGUGUUUUUCCAAGGUUUAAGUCUCUCCUACCAUCCCUCUCUCCCCUGAUGAUUCCCAAGGAUCAGAGGGAUCUUUGAAGGAGGGAUAAGAACACUUUAAUUACCAAAAUAUGGUUGCAUCUGAGGGCAUAAUCAGACUUAAUAAUAUGGCGUGAUUUUAUGUUACUGGAUUUCAGCUAGUGUCACAUGGAAAUAUUCAUUCAUUCAUUCUAUUUUUACUCCGCCCAUCUAGAUUUGGGAAUCUACUCUGGGCAGUUUACAGAAUAUAAAGAUAAAAACAGCAUUCAAAUAACUUUUGUUAAUAAAAGCAAUAAAGAUCAAUAAAGAAAACA
Pogona vitticeps (central bearded dragon) is the source of this 2035-nucleotide long non-coding RNA. The record is from Ensembl. Lineage: Eukaryota; Metazoa; Chordata; Lepidosauria; Squamata; Agamidae.